CUUGGUCAUUUAGAGGAAGUAAAAGUCGUAACAAGGUCUCCGUUGGUGAACCAGCGGAGGGAUCAUUAUCGAGUUAUUCAACUCCCAAACCCUAUGUGAACUUACCACUUGUUGCUUCGGCGCGCGCUUCAGCGCCGCCGAGGACACUUAAACUCUUUGUUUUUAUAAGCAUUUCUGAGUGGCCGAAAGGCAAAAAUACAAAUGAAUCAAAACUUUCAACAACGGAUCUCUUGGUUCUGGCAUCGAUGAAGAACGCAGCGAAAUGCGAUAAGUAAUGUGAAUUGCAGAAUUCAGUGAAUCAUCGAAUCUUUGAACGCACAUUGCGCCCGCCAGCAUUCUGGCGGGCAUGCCUGUUCGAGCGUCAUUUCAACCCUCGAGCCCGACUCUUUUGAGGACGGCUCGGCGUUGGGGGACGGCAGACUCCCCCCGGCAUCUCGCCGGGGACGCCGCCCCCGAAAUCUAGUGGCGGCCCUCCGAGGCGACCUCUGCGUAGUAACUUGUUCUCGCACCGGAAAGCUCAGAGCGGCCACGCCGUAAAACCCCAACUUUUUUCAGGUUGACCUCGAAUCAGGUAGGACUAC
This 581-nucleotide ribosomal RNA is filed under the name uncultured eukaryote. Its description in RNAcentral is "eukaryotic LSU rRNA". The stretch from base 211 to 364 matches the Rfam family "5.8S ribosomal RNA". The record is from RNAcentral.